RNAcentral lists this ribosomal RNA (465 nucleotides) under uncultured bacterium. RNAcentral's name for it is "partial 16S ribosomal RNA". It matches the Rfam family "Bacterial small subunit ribosomal RNA", at positions 338 to 795 of the family's 1533-position model. The record is from RNAcentral.
CCUACGGGUGGCAGCAGUAGGGAAUCUUCGGCAAUGGACGAAAGUCUGACCGAGCAACGCAGCGUGAGUGAAGAAGGUCUUCGGAUCGUAAAACUCUGUUGGUAGAGAAGAACGUUGGUGAGUGUGGAAAGCUCAUCAAGUGACGGUAACUACCCAGAAAGGGACGGCUAACUACGUGCCAGCAGCCGCGGUAAUACGUAGGUCCCGAGCGUUGUUCGGUGUUAUUGGGCGUAAAGCGAGCGCAGGUGGUUUAUUAAGUUUGGGGUAAAAGGCGGGGGCUCAACCAUUGAUUGCAUUUGAAAGUGGUAGUCUUGAGUACAGGAGAGGAGGGUGGAAUUCGUGGUGUAGCGGUGAAAUGCGUAGAUAUAUGGAAGAACACCGGUGGCGAAGGCGGCUCUCUGGCCUGUAACUGACACUGAGGCUCGAAAGCGUGGGUAGCAAACAGGAUUAGAUACCCGGGUAGUC